This 463-nucleotide ribosomal RNA is filed under the name uncultured bacterium. Its description in RNAcentral is "partial 16S ribosomal RNA". It matches the Rfam family "Bacterial small subunit ribosomal RNA", at positions 28 to 507 of the family's 1533-position model. The record is from RNAcentral.
GACGAACGCUGGCGGCGUGCUUAACACAUGCCAGUCGAACGGAAAGGCCUUUUCGGAGGUACUCGAGUGGCGAACGGGUGAGUAACACGUGGGUGAUCUGCCCUGCACUCUGGGAUAAGCCUGGGAAACUGGGUCUAAUACCGGAUAGGACCGCACUUUAGUGUGUGUGGUGGAAAGUUGUUUCGGUGUAGGAUGAGCCCGCGGCCUAUCAGCUUGUUGGUGGGGUAAUGGCCUACCAAGGCGGCGACGGGUAGCCGGACUGAGAGGUUGGUCGGCCACAUUGGGACUGAGAUACGGCCCAGACUCCUACGGGAGGCAGCAGUGGGGAAUAUUGCACAAGGGGCGCAAGCCUGAUGCAGCGACGCCGCGUGGGGGAUGACGGCCUUCGGGUUGUAAACUCCGUUCGCCAGGGACGAAGCGUUUUGUGACGGUACCUGGAGAAGAAGCACCGGCUAACUACGUG